AGAGUUUGAUCAUGGCUCAGAAUCAACGCUGGCGGCGUGCCUAACACAUGCAAGUCGCACGAGAAAGGGGCUUCGGUCCUGAGUAAAGUGGCGCACGGGUGAGUAACACGUGAAUGAUCUACCUCCGAGUGGGGAAUAACUGAGAGAAAUCUUAGCUAAUACCGCAUAACACUUACGAGUCAAAGCAGCAAUGCGCUUGGAGAGGAGUUCGCGGCCGAUUAGUUAGUUGGCGGGGUAAUGGCCCACCAAGACGAUGAUCGGUAUCCGGCCUGAGAGGGCGCACGGACGCACUGGAACUGAAACACGGUCCAGACUCCUACGGGAGGCAGCAGUGGGGAAUUUUGCGCAAUGGGGGAAACCCUGACGCAGCAACGCCGCGUGGAGGAUGAAGUAUCUUGGUACGUAAACUCCUUUCGAUGGGGAAGAUAAUGACGGUACCCAUAGAAGAAGCCCCGGCUAACUUCGUGCCAGCAGCCGCGGUAAUACGAGGGGGGCAAGCGUUGUUCGGAAUUAUUGGGCGUAAAGGGUGCGUAGGCGGUUUGAUAAGUCUGAUGUGAAAUCUCUGGGCUCAACCCAGAGUCUGCAUUAGAAACUGUCGGGCUUGAGUAUGGGAGAGGUGAGUGGAAUUUCCGGUGUAGCGGUGAAAUGCGUAGAUAUCGGAAGGAACACCUGUGGCGAAAGCGGCUCACUGGACCAUAACUGACGCUGAGGCACGAAAGCUAGGGGAGCAAACAGGAUUAGAUACCCUAGUAGUCC
Molecule: ribosomal RNA, 756 nt
Filed under: uncultured bacterium
Lineage: Bacteria
Description: bacterial SSU rRNA
Rfam family: Bacterial small subunit ribosomal RNA
Source: RNAcentral